AGCUUUGCACAGUGGCAGUAUCAUAGCCAGUGAGGUUCAUCUGAGGUGUGAUUAUUGCUAACUGAAAGCUCUUCACAGAUCAAAGAGGUUUCUGUCUAUCACCAGUUUGCUAAGACCUUUUUAUCAGGAAUGGAUGUUGGCUAGAAUGUAGUUCAAUAUGUGCAGGUGUAUUAUGUAUUACU
RNAcentral lists this small nuclear RNA (182 nucleotides) under Zalophus californianus (California sea lion). Its description in RNAcentral is "U4 spliceosomal RNA (ENSZCAG00015007421.1)". It matches the Rfam family "U4 spliceosomal RNA". From Rfam's summary of the family: U4 small nuclear RNA (U4 snRNA) is a component of the major U2-dependent spliceosome. The structure of U4 snRNA from yeast and human has been reported. U4 snRNA presents a k-turn RNA motif in the 5p-SL related to recognition of Snu13 protein. Lineage: Eukaryota; Metazoa; Chordata; Mammalia; Carnivora; Otariidae. The record is from RNAcentral.